AAACAAACCAACAAAAGACAGUAAAGACCUUUGUACCGUCCAUUAUUUUUCUGCCCUAGUAUUUGUGGCCGGAUCAAAAACAAACCAGACAAGGACUCUGAGGGAGGGAGAUUUCUCUGACACCUGUAGGUAGGAUCAGGCUUCCAGGGCUGCAGAGGGAAGAGUUUCAAUAAGAGGAGGAAAAAGCAGUGAUAAUGACCUUCAUGAGUCCUCUACUGCAGACUCUCUGGGCUGCAGUCCCCUGGCACAUUUCCUUGCAGAGAAAGGAUAGCAGGAGUGGGCUUCCUGAUUUCCUGAUUUGCUGAUUUCUCUGAGGCCAGCAGGUGCCUGGAGUGGCCUUUGCACCCCCUGCUGGUCGUUCUGGCUGCACACAGUCUCAUGCCUUGUGAGUGUGAAACCAGGUGCUGUCUCGUUCCCCAGGUUGAAUGCAAGAGAAUGCUUGGGUAGAACUUUGUUACCCAAUGAAGCCUCCUGGCUCUCUAGUCCCUGGUAGCCUGUCCUGGUUGCCGGGUGCUUGUUUGCAUUCCAAGCUCCACAUUCCCCAGGGUCCAGUGUGGUCUUGUGUCUAAGCUGGUGUCUGGCCACCAGAGGCAGGCAUGCAGGGCCUUGGCUACUGUACUAGGUCUGCUGAUGGCCACAAGCCUUUACUCCCAGCUGUGCGUUAGCAGUGGGGGUGUCUGAAGGCUCAGGGGAUACACAAGUCCUCCUGGUUCCUGGGGAGGUGAUGAGUGAGAGUUUUGACCAGGAGCAGACACUGAGGAGAGCAAAGAUCACCUGGUACUCAUCAAGCAGGACUUCUAGAGGCAAAGCUCCUUACCUGUGGAAUUCAGAAGUAAUUAGACUUCCCUAUUAUCCAAAGCAGGCAUCUGGUACCAGCCUUCUUUCCCCAAAAUGUAUAAGUAACUAGAAUUUCUACACGCUCCACAAUGCAUAUGCGUCAGACCUCAUUUUGCAACCCUUGAUGACAUCAAGGCACCAGAAUGUCUACAAAUGUAAUCAGCUAUCAUGACCUACAUGGCUAAUAUGGUCCAAACUUACCCUUAAGCUCCUGCUUUAAGGUCCAUACACACCCCUAAGGAACAUCCACUGUGGUGGGCUCAGUUUUCUCUUGCUGAG
Molecule: long non-coding RNA, 1116 nt
Filed under: Macaca fascicularis (crab-eating macaque)
Lineage: Eukaryota; Metazoa; Chordata; Mammalia; Primates; Cercopithecidae
Description: lncRNA (ENSMFAG00000051257.1)
Source: RNAcentral